GAUGAACGCUGGCGGCGUGCCUAAUACAUGCAAGUCGAGCGAACGGACGAGAAGCUUGCUUUUCUGAUGUUAGCGGCGGACGGGUGAGUAACACGUGGAUAACCUACCUAUAAGACUGGUAUAACUUCGGGAAACCGGAGCUAAUACCGGAUAAUAUUUUGAACCGCAUGGUUCAAAGGUGAAAGACGGUCGUGCUGUCACUUAUAGAUGGAUCCGCGCUGCAUUAGCUAGUUGGUAAGGUAACGGCUUACCAAGGCAACGAUGCAUAGCCGACCUGAGAGGGUGAUCGGCCACACUGGAACUGAGACACGGUCCAGACUCCUACGGGAGGCAGCAGUAGGGAAUCUUCCGCAAUGGGCGAAAGCCUGACGGAGCAACGCCGCGUGAGUGAUGAAGGUCUUCGGAUCGUAAAACUCUGUUAUUAGGGAAGAACAUAUGUGUAAGUAACUGUGCACAUCUUGACGGUACCUAAUCAGAAAGCCACGGCUAACUACGUG
RNAcentral lists this ribosomal RNA (497 nucleotides) under uncultured bacterium. RNAcentral describes it as "partial 16S ribosomal RNA". It matches the Rfam family "Bacterial small subunit ribosomal RNA", at positions 28 to 507 of the family's 1533-position model. The record is from RNAcentral.